Molecule: ribosomal RNA, 378 nt
Filed under: Triticum aestivum (bread wheat)
Lineage: Eukaryota; Viridiplantae; Streptophyta; Magnoliopsida; Poales; Poaceae
Description: partial small subunit ribosomal RNA
Source: RNAcentral
AUGAGAUGGCGGAGAAGAUGUCAGUGGUGGAAGAGGACAUGUUAUAGAAGAUGUCGUGAGCGGUACCGGAGGAAAUGGUCAAAUGGGGUUCCUCGGAGCGGACAAGAAGGAUGCUGCAGCGGCAUUUAUUGGGUUCCAUUUCCAUCCAAAGAAGAACUUAUGAACAGUAUGUGCGCGAUCCAUUCAUUCUUUCGUUUGAUCCUUCCUUAUUCCCCUCAACCCAAAUUCGUUUUCUUUUGCACUUACGCAUGGUUUUUAUGGAUCAAUAAAUUUAGUGACAUUAAUGGCAAUGAUAUCCAUAAACUUCACAUUGUUGUUUUUCAGCAGAAUAUGAUGUUCGUCUCUUCUUCAUAUGGACUGCAAUAUGGUCGAUGGUAG